GGUUAAGCGACUAAGCGUACACGGUGGAUGCCCUGGCAGUCAGAGGCGAUGAAGGACGUGCUAAUCUGCGAAAAGCGCCGGCGAGGUGAUAUGAACCUUUGACCCGGCGAUGUCCGAAUGGGGAAACCCAGUGUGUUCCGACACACUAUCGUUAACUGAAUACAUAGGUUAACGAGGCGAACCGGGGGAACUGAAACAUCUAAGUACCCCGAGGAAAAGAAAUCAACCGAGAUUCCCCCAGUAGCGGCGAGCGAACGGGGAGCAGCCCAGAGUCUGAAUCAGCUUGUGUGUUAGUGGAAGCGUCUGGAAAGUCGCACGGUACAGGGUGACAGUCCCGUACACGAAAGCACACUUGCUGUGAACUCGAAGAGUAGGGCGGGACACGUGGUAUCCUGUCUGAAUAUGGGGGGACCAUCCUCCAAGGCUAAAUACUCCUGACUGACCGAUAGUGAACCAGUACCGUGAGGGAAAGGCGAAAAGAACCCCGGCGAGGGGAGUGAAAUAGAACCUGAAACCGUGUACGUACAAGCAGUGGGAGCACCUUCGUGGUGUGACUGCGUACCUUUUGUAUAAUGGGUCAGCGACUUAUAUUCUGUAGCAAGGUUAACCGUAUAGGGGAGCCGAAGGGAAACCGAGUCUUAACUGGGCGUUAAGUUGCAGGGUAUAGACCCG
This 672-nucleotide ribosomal RNA is filed under the name Enterobacter sp. RIT637. RNAcentral's name for it is "partial 23S ribosomal RNA". It matches the Rfam family "Bacterial large subunit ribosomal RNA", at positions 1 to 717 of the family's 2925-position model. The record is from RNAcentral. Lineage: Bacteria; Pseudomonadati; Pseudomonadota; Gammaproteobacteria; Enterobacterales; Enterobacteriaceae.